CGUAAAUGUUUUUGCUGCAGUAUACCUUUCCUGCUGCAGCUUCCCAACAAUAACAUUGAAAGAGGGGAAGGGUCUUGACAGGAGGCUGCUGUCUUUUAGGAGAGCUGGGUCCCUGGAUGUCAGAGCUGAGGGGGCAUGCAAACCAUGUGAGUAGCAGCCCACACCAGGCCCCGAGGUCUGCUAUAACAUGCAGUAGGGAGUUCACUCCAUCGUCCGCACAGGCUGGCCACUUUCACUUUCUGUUCCACUUCCUGGCUGCUUGUGAUUUAUGACAUGAAGCUGUUCUCCAUUCUCCCUGCGCUCGAGCCCUCCCCCUCUACAACAUGCUGAUGCAGGACCUUGAGUGUGGUCAGAGCAGGCCGACUGUGCCAAAAAUUCCCGCAUAACAAGAUUAAACAAUGACUCUGUAGUAAACCUCUGAGGAAGAAUUUCUAAGACAGAGCGUUUCUAUGGUUGUCAAAGGGACUGAAUUCUACUGGGAGGCUGGGCUCGGUGAGGUGGUCUCCAGCAUAGAUGUUGGAAAGACAUAUAAACAAAGAAAUUGACGGCAGAUAAGAACCAUUUGCUCCAUCAGAAAGGUACAGCAGUAAAGAGAGGCUCCAGUGGAUGAACACAGGGUACGCAGCCCGUGCAGCCGGAAGUUAUAUUUACACCGUCUUCAGGGCACAUCCUGUGGGAGAAUGAAGAAUGAGUAUGAAGCUUAAACCUACUGUUCUGGAACAAGAAAAGUGAUCAUACUUUAUGCAAGAGA
This is a long non-coding RNA of Pseudophryne corroboree (corroboree frog), 751 nucleotides long. RefSeq lists it as uncharacterized. The record is from RefSeq and is a predicted model, not a curated record. The transcript has 5 exons. Lineage: Eukaryota; Metazoa; Chordata; Amphibia; Anura; Myobatrachidae.